This is a long non-coding RNA of Octopus bimaculoides (California two-spot octopus), 2871 nucleotides long. RefSeq lists it as uncharacterized. Lineage: Eukaryota; Metazoa; Mollusca; Cephalopoda; Octopoda; Octopodidae. The record is from RefSeq and is a predicted model, not a curated record.
CCUGUGAUACACCUGUGAUACACCUGUGAUACACCUGUGAUAUACCUUAUGAGUUAGACCUGGAUAAACUGGAAGGAGAAUCUGGAAUUUAUAUUCGGAAAUGGACUAUAUUUUCAUAAACAACAACAUUAUAGGGAAUCAAAAACAACAUUAACAACACCAAUAACAACUUUUCCAGCAAUAACAUAAACAACAACUUUAAAAAAGGGGGGGAAACUAAAACCACGCUUAAAGGGAAAAUUAAGCCGUGUGCACACACACACACACACACACGCACACAGACACACACACAUACACACACACAUUCAUAAAAUACAACUCUAGCUAUAUUGAUAUUUAAUAUAGGGGGAAAUAAUAAACUAGAGGGGGAGGGGACAAGGAAGCGAGGGAUUAUGGAUUUAUGCUUUGUAUAAAAGAAAGAUAACAGAGAAACAGAAAUACACUGAUGUCUAGGGCGAUAUUGGUUAAUAUUAGCCUAGAUACACAAGGCUAGAUUAAUAUAGUAUGUGGUGGUUCUAUGAAAGAGGGGUCCAUCACUGAUCCAGAAACACAUCUCACUCUUUCACACACACACACACGCACACACACACACACACACAUAUAUUUGUGUGUUUAUGUACUUCAGAUUUACUUUUAUCUUAACUUACAAGACGUCAGCGUUACUACUACUAAUCAUGAUAAAUAUUUCCUCCAGCAUUAAACACUGAAUAGUCAACAAGAGAGCCUCGGUGUGGUGUCUUGACCUGCAAGAAAUAGCAGCAAAAUCCCUUCAUAUAUAGGAGGACGCAGCGCACCGAAUAAUCCCAAGGCGUGGGUAGCUGUUUCCUAAACAGCUUUGAUCAUAGUUCACAGGGCUUACCUAGGGCUAAAUAACAAUACCCACUACGAUGAGUAUUAUCAUUACUAAUACCAACACCAUCCAAAAUUAUUGCUACUACUACUAAUUAAUUUUGAAAUAAACUUUCUUGUCCCUUGUGGCUAAUAAAAGUUAAAACAGUGCAAAGGCGAAAUAUAAGUGAAUAGCGAGGAGUAGGGUAGAAUAAGAACGUGAAAUUAACAACAGUAAAUAAUAACAACAACAACAAUAGCAACAACAACGACAACAACAACAACAACAACAACAACAACAACAACAACAACAACAACAACAAUAAUAAUAAGAAGAAGAAGAAUGAUAAUAUAGGACAGAGGCCAUAGCAAUAUAAGACAUUAUUCUUAAUCAUAAUUAAAAUUUCUUUUAAUCGAAUACCGCCAGGUUGACAGGUGAGAUUAUAAUUACAAAACUGGUGAGUUUACGCAGAAAGAAAACAAAUAAUUAGAGUAAUUAUUUUGAAUUUUAAUUAAUGUUUAACUAACAGACCACCUUCAGUAUAAUUAUAUAUUAUACACUCAAACGAACUUAUAUGGUUGCAUAGAAUCAAAAAUAUCAUAUCUUAUAUACACACCUGGACACACCUGUACUGUGACGCACCUAUAUACAUAUGCUCAUACGUAGAUGUAUACAUAGAUAUACUCACAUUCACAUAAAAGAAUAUUUUUCUAUACAUAUAAAAUAUACACAUAUACAUCGCUUAUGCAAACGAUGAUUUGCAGAUAUCGAAGUGAAACAAUUACUUUAUUACGUGAGAAGUGAAACAGUUGUUUGGAUUGUAAUUAAAGAAACUCAGGGAAAGCAUUCCAAUUUUCUGGUCGAUUCGAAGCAAGCCGGUGUCAAACGACGUCUCGACAUAUCUAUUGAUCUAUAUUAAUUUGUCUAUAACGGAUAUGGAUUCCAAGAGCUUAAGGUGAAUUACAGGUCUGUUGCUACAUUGACGAAAGCAUCAACUUACUAUUCUAUUUCAAUGUCCUCUGUGAUAUGAUUAUUACAUCGACGUAUUGAUUCCGCAGUUAUAUCUAAACUUUGAGAAUAAUUACAACAAAGGUUCAACGUUCGUCAAACAAUAUGGACCAAUAAACAAGGAAUUUACCAGUAAUAUCAACGUUCUCCUACACAUAUAUAAGAAAUCAAAGGAAUUCACCAACUUACGUCAGAUAAAACAUAAAAUGUAGACAACUAAGACGAAAUCGACGACAAAAAUCAGUGAAAUUCUAAAAUUAUUUGUCUUUUGUGAAUAUAUCGUGAUUUAAUGAGAUAUAAGAAACAUUCACAGCAUUUUUAUGAGAGUUUACCAAAUUUUACGAGAGUUCACCAGAUUGCAUAAAAGCUCACGGGAUUUUACCAAACUUCACGAAAUUUUACAAUAUUUCACGAGAUUUUGCAAGAGUUCACGAGAGUUUCCUCAGUUAAUCAUCUAAUAUCAACACAAUGGGUGAUAUGGUCAGUAGCUGUUUAAAAACUGUCGGUCUUGAACCAGUUGAGGCGAAAUCGGUGCAGUAUAACCGGAAACGGAAGCAAAGUGUUCAAGUAACUGAAUAUAUGAAAACGAAACGCCACAACGAACUCGAGAAAUACUACCGUGAUAAGUAUGCUCCUCGACGGCAGUCGUCGCCUUGUAUCGACCAAUUAACACUUGACAUUCCUGUACCCACAGAGCAGGUACGGAGGUCUUCGAUGAACUUCUAAGAAUAAAAAAAGGAUAUUUUGUAUGUUCACCUUGGAACAAGUGACACAAAGUUUUGUGAGCAAUGUUAAUUGAUGAAGAAGCUCCAGUCACUGUUUUCGUUUUGUUUGGAAACAAGUGUUAAAUUUUGGUCGAAAAUCUCUCGUCAUUGAGCAUAUACUUUCACCUCGAGUAAUGACCGUCAAGAAAUAGCAAAAGUAUAUUCAAAUAUGCAUAUGUUCAUAUAAUAACGCAUACGUUUAUAUACAUUCAUACACAUAGAAAUAUACAUACAUCUACAUAUGUACAUUAUAUAUAUUUAUAUAUAAUA